Molecule: long non-coding RNA, 592 nt
Organism: Micropterus dolomieu (smallmouth bass)
Lineage: Eukaryota; Metazoa; Chordata; Actinopteri; Centrarchiformes; Centrarchidae
Exons: 4
Source: RefSeq, a predicted model, not a curated record
CCCACCUGUCAAUGCAUCAAAGCACACGCUGGCAGGAAGUCCGCCUGCCCAAUGAACGAAAGACUGUGAGGACCCAUGUGAAAGAGCCCAUGCAGCUGCAGCGUGAAAAGUGAACGUAAGAGUCCAAGACCAUUCAUGCAUGCAAAUGAAGCAAUUACUGACUGAGACUACUCGUUCCUCUCGAGUAUAAAAAAAGAUUAGUUCAAAUGAACGAAAGUUCAUUGACCAACACAACACUAUGAAAAAAAGUACCAGGUACUAUUUUUCCCCGAUGGAAAACCAAAAAAGGCGAGUAGAGUCGAGAAUACUGAAGAUCUGGAUGUGAUGAAGAGCGGACUUCUGAUGAGCUCAAACUGGAUGUGAUGAAUUGAAGGUGAAUGGAGAGAAGGGCCGCAGCGAUUUCACACUGAACUGAGAGGGAUAUAUAGAGAGAGAGAGAGAGAGAGAGAGACACAGGACAGAGAGAGAGAGUGAAUAAAUGAAUGAAUGAAGCAUAAACGUAAUCUUCCUACACUUACCCUGGGCUUCAUUUGUGAUGUCUGCAGUUGUGUCUGUGUAUUUUCUCUAUGUAAAUCCUAGAUGGGUUCCAACA